ACCUCUGUGGCUGAGUGGUCAAGAGCACUGAUUCUCAACCUGGAGGUACUGGGUUCGAAUCCCGGCUAGGGUG
Molecule: transfer RNA, 73 nt
Filed under: Diaphorina citri (Asian citrus psyllid)
Lineage: Eukaryota; Metazoa; Arthropoda; Insecta; Hemiptera; Psyllidae
Rfam family: tRNA
About the family: Transfer RNA (tRNA) molecules are approximately 80 nucleotides in length. Their secondary structure includes four short double-helical elements and three loops (D, anti-codon, and T loops).
Source: Rfam by way of RNAcentral